GUGUCAGCAGCCGCGGUAAUACGAAGGGUGCAAGCGUUAAUCGGAAUUACUGGGCGUAAAGGGUGCGUAGGCGGUUUGUUAAGUCUGUUGUGAAAUCCCCGGGCUCAACCUGGGAAUGGCAAUGGAAACUGGCAGGCUAGAGUGUGUCAGAGGAUGGUGGAAUUCCCGGUGUAGCGGUGAAAUGCGUAGAGAUCGGGAGGAACAUCAGUGGCGAAGGCGGCCAUCUGGGACAACACUGACGCUGAAGCACGAAAGCGUGGGGAGCAAACAGGAUUAGAAACCCUCGUAGUCC
RNAcentral lists this ribosomal RNA (292 nucleotides) under uncultured bacterium. RNAcentral's name for it is "partial 16S ribosomal RNA". It matches the Rfam family "Bacterial small subunit ribosomal RNA", at positions 505 to 796 of the family's 1533-position model. The record is from RNAcentral.